CACGUAGGGGGCAAGCGUUGUCCGGAAUUAUUGGGCGUAAAGAGCGCGCAGGCGGCUCUGUAAGUCUACCGUGAAAGCUUACGGCUCAACCGUAACGGGUCGGUGGAUACUGCAGAGCUUGAGGGCAGGAGAGGAAAGUGGAAUUCCCAGUGUAGCGGUGAAAUGCGUAGAUAUUGGGAGGAACACCAGUGGCGAAGGCGACUUUCUGGACUGUUACUGACGCUGAGGCGCGAAAGCUGGGGGAGUGAACGGGAUUAGAUACCCCGGUAAUCCCAGCCGUAAACGAUGGGUACUAGGUGUAGGAGGUAUCGACCCCUUCUGUGCCGGAGUUAACGCAAUAAGUACCCCGCCUGGGGAGUACGGUCGCAAGACUGAA
RNAcentral lists this ribosomal RNA (376 nucleotides) under uncultured bacterium. RNAcentral's name for it is "bacterial SSU rRNA". It matches the Rfam family "Bacterial small subunit ribosomal RNA", at positions 524 to 898 of the family's 1533-position model. The record is from RNAcentral.